CGAAUCAACUAGCCCCGA
This 18-nucleotide non-coding RNA is filed under the name Arabidopsis thaliana (thale cress). Lineage: Eukaryota; Viridiplantae; Streptophyta; Magnoliopsida; Brassicales; Brassicaceae. The record is from RNAcentral.